GGGUUGUGAGGUUAAGCGACUAAGCGUACACGGUGGAUGCCCUGGCAGUCAGAGGCGAUGAAGGACGUGCUAAUCUGCGAUAAGCGUCGGUAAGGUGAUAUGAACCGUUAUAACCGGCGAUUUCCGAAUGGGGAAACCCAGUGUGUUUCGACACACUAUCAUUAACUGAAUCCAUAGGUUAAUGAGGCGAACCGGGGGAACUGAAACAUCUAAGUACCCCGAGGAAAAGAAAUCAACCGAGAUUCCCCCAGUAGCGGCGAGCGAACGGGGAGGAGCCCAGAGCCUGAAUCAGUGUGUGUGUUAGUGGAAGCGUCUGGAAAGGCGCGCGAUACAGGGUGACAGCCCCGUACACAAAAAUGCACAUGCUGUGAGCUCGAUGAGUAGGGCGGGACACGUGGUAUCCUGUCUGAAUAUGGGGGGACCAUCCUCCAAGGCUAAAUACUCCUGACUGACCGAUAGUGAACCAGUACCGUGAGGGAAAGGCGAAAAGAACCCCGGCGAGGGGAGUGAAAAAGAACCUGAAACCGUGUACGUACAAGCAGUGGGAGCACGCUUAGGCGUGUGACUGCGUACCUUUUGUAUAAUGGGUCAGCGACUUAUAUUCUGUAGCAAGGUUAACCGAAUAGGGGAGCCGAAGGGAAACCGAGUCUUAACUGGGCGUUAAGUUGCAGGGUAUAGACCCGAAACCCGGUGAUCUAGCCAUGGGCAGGUUGAAGGUUGGGUAACACUAACUGGAGGACCGAACCGACUAAUGUUGAAAAAUUAGCGGAUGACUUGUGGCUGGGGGUGAAAGGCCAAUCAAACCGGGAGAUAGCUGGUUCUCCCCGAAAGCUAUUUAGGUAGCGCCUCGUGAAUUCAUCUCCGGGGGUAGAGCACUGUUUCGGCAAGGGGGUCAUCCCGACUUACCAACCCGAUGCAAACUGCGAAUACCGGAGAAUGUUAUCACGGGAGACACACGGCGGGUGCUAACGUCCGUCGUGAAGAGGGAAACAACCCAGACCGCCAGCUAAGGUCCCAAAGUCAUGGUUAAGUGGGAAACGAUGUGGGAAGGCCCAGACAGCCAGGAUGUUGGCUUAGAAGCAGCCAUCAUUUAAAGAAAGCGUAAUAGCUCACUGGUCGAGUCGGCCUGCGCGGAAGAUGUAACGGGGCUAAACCAUGCACCGAAGCUGCGGCAGCGACGCUGAUGCGUUGUUGGGUAGGGGAGCGUUCUGUAAGCCUGUGAAGGUGUGCUGUGAGGCAUGCUGGAGGUAUCAGAAGUGCGAAUGCUGACAUAAGUAACGAUAAAGCGGGUGAAAAGCCCGCUCGCCGGAAGACCAAGGGUUCCUGUCCAACGUUAAUCGGGGCAGGGUGAGUCGACCCCUAAGGCGAGGCCGAAAGGCGUAGUCGAUGGGAAACAGGUUAAUAUUCCUGUACUUGGUGUUACUGCGAAGGGGGGACGGAGAAGGCUAUGUUGGCCGGGCGACGGUUGUCCCGGUUUAAGCGUGUAGGCUGGUUUUCCAGGCAAAUCCGGAAAAUCAAGGCUGAGGCGUGAUGACGAGGCACUACGGUGCUGAAGCAACAAAUGCCCUGCUUCCAGGAAAAGCCUCUAAGCAUCAGGUAACAUCAAAUCGUACCCCAAACCGACACAGGUGGUCAGGUAGAGAAUACCAAGGCGCUUGAGAGAACUCGGGUGAAGGAACUAGGCAAAAUGGUGCCGUAACUUCGGGAGAAGGCACGCUGAUAUGUAGGUGAAGUCCCUCGCGGAUGGAGCUGAAAUCAGUCGAAGAUACCAGCUGGCUGCAACUGUUUAUUAAAAACACAGCACUGUGCAAACACGAAAGUGGACGUAUACGGUGUGACGCCUGCCCGGUGCCGGAAGGUUAAUUGAUGGGGUCAGCGCAAGCGAAGCUCUUGAUCGAAGCCCCGGUAAACGGCGGCCGUAACUAUAACGGUCCUAAGGUAGCGAAAUUCCUUGUCGGGUAAGUUCCGACCUGCACGAAUGGCGUAAUGAUGGCCAGGCUGUCUCCACCCGAGACUCAGUGAAAUUGAACUCGCUGUGAAGAUGCAGUGUACCCGCGGCAAGACGGAAAGACCCCGUGAACCUUUACUAUAGCUUGACACUGAACAUUGAGCCUUGAUGUGUAGGAUAGGUGGGAGGCUUAGAAGUGUGGACGCCAGUCUGCAUGGAGCCGACCUUGAAAUACCACCCUUUAAUGUUUGAUGUUCUAACGUUGACCCGUAAUCCGGGUUGCGGACAGUGUCUGGUGGGUAGUUUGACUGGGGCGGUCUCCUCCUAAAGAGUAACGGAGGAGCACGAAGGUUGGCUAAUCCUGGUCGGACAUCAGGAGGUUAGUGCAAUGGCAUAAGCCAGCUUGACUGCGAGCGUGACGGCGCGAGCAGGUGCGAAAGCAGGUCAUAGUGAUCCGGUGGUUCUGAAUGGAAGGGCCAUCGCUCAACGGAUAAAAGGUACUCCGGGGAUAACAGGCUGAUACCGCCCAAGAGUUCAUAUCGACGGCGGUGUUUGGCACCUCGAUGUCGGCUCAUCACAUCCUGGGGCUGAAGUAGGUCCCAAGGGUAUGGCUGUUCGCCAUUUAAAGUGGUACGCGAGCUGGGUUUAGAACGUCGUGAGACAGUUCGGUCCCUAUCUGCCGUGGGCGCUGGAGAACUGAGGGGGGCUGCUCCUAGUACGAGAGGACCGGAGUGGACGCAUCACUGGUGUUCGGGUUGUCAUGCCAAUGGCACUGCCCGGUAGCUAAAUGCGGAAGAGAUAAGUGCUGAAAGCAUCUAAGCACGAAACUUGCCCCGAGAUGAGUUCUCCCUGACUCCUUGAGAGUCCUGAAGGAACGUUGAAGACGACGACGUUGAUAGGCCGGGUGUGUAAGCGCAGCGAUGCGUUGAGCUAACCGGUACUAAUGAACCGUGAGGCUUAACCUUACAACGCCGAAGGUGUUU
RNAcentral lists this ribosomal RNA (2931 nucleotides) under Escherichia coli. Its description in RNAcentral is "23S ribosomal RNA". It matches the Rfam family "Bacterial large subunit ribosomal RNA". Lineage: Bacteria; Pseudomonadati; Pseudomonadota; Gammaproteobacteria; Enterobacterales; Enterobacteriaceae. The record is from RNAcentral.